Molecule: ribosomal RNA, 544 nt
Filed under: uncultured bacterium
Lineage: Bacteria
Description: bacterial SSU rRNA
Rfam family: Bacterial small subunit ribosomal RNA
Source: RNAcentral
AGUGGGGACGGGUGAGUAACACGUGGGUAACCUCCCAUCAGAGGGGAUAACACUUGGAAACAGGUGCUAAACCGAUACUGAUGGAUGGACCCGCGGUGCAUUAGCUAGUUGGUGAGGUAACGGCUCACCAAGGCCACGAUGCAUAGCCGACCUGAGAGGGUGAUCGGCCACACUGGGACUGAGACACGGCCCAGACUCCUACGGGAGGCAGCAGUAGGGAAUCUUCGGCAAUGGACGAAAGUCUGACCGAGCAACGCCGCGUGAGUGAAGAAGGUUUUCGGAUCGUAAAACUCUGUUGUUAGAGAAGCGGUAUCUAACCAGAAAGCCACGGCUAACUACGUGCCAGCAGCCGCGGUAAUACGUAGGUGGCAAGCGUUGUCCGGAUUUAUUGGGCGUAAAGCGAGCGCAGACGGUUUCUUAAGUCUGAUGUGAAAGCCCCCGGCUCAACCGGGGAGGGCAUUGGAAACUGGGAGACUUGAGUGCAGAAGAGGAGAGUGGAAUUCCAUGUGUAGCGGUGAAAUGCGUAGAUAUAUGGAGGAACACC